GUGACCUACUACAUGCAAGUCGAACGCACAGCGAAGGUGCUUGCACCUUUCAAGUGAGUGGCGAACGGGUGAGUAACACGUGGACAACCUGCCUCAAGGCUGGGGAUAACAUUUGGAAACAGAUGCUAAUACCGAAUAAAACUUAGUGUCGCAUGACACAAAGUUAAAAGGCGCUUCGGCGUCACCUAGAGAUGGAUCCGCGGUGCAUUAGUUAGUUGGUGGGGUAAAGGCCUACCAAGACAAUGAUGCAUAGCCGAGUUGAGAGACUGAUCGGCCACAUUGGGACUGAGACACGGCCCAAACUCCUACGGGAGGCUGCAGUAGGGAAUCUUCCACAAUGGGCGAAAGCCUGAUGGAGCAACGCCGCGUGUGUGAUGAAGGCUUUCGGGUCGUAAAGCACUGUUGUAUGGGAAGAACAGCUAGAAUAGGAAAUGAUUUUAGUUUGACGGUACCAUACCAGAAAGGGACGGCUAAAUACGUGCCAGCAGCCGCGGUAAUACGUAUGUCCCGAGCGUUAUCCGGAUUUAUUGGGCGUAAAGCGAGCGCAGACGGUUUAUUAAGUCUGAUGUGAAAGCCCGGAGCUCAACUCCGGAAUGGCAUUGGAAACUGGUUAACUUGAGUGCAGUAGAGGUAAGUGGAACUCCAUGUGUAGCGGUGGAAUGCGUAGAUAUAUGGAAGAACACCAGUGGCGAAGGCGGCUUACUGGACUGCAACUGACGUUGAGCUCGAAAGUGUGGGUAGCAAACAGGAUUAGAUACCCUGGUAGUCCACACCGUAAACGAUGAACACUACGUGUUAGAGGUUUCCGCCUCUUAGUGCCGAAGCUAACGCAUUAAGUGUUCCGCCUGGGGAGUACGACCGCACGUUGAACUCAAAGAUUGACGGACCCCGCACAGCGUUGAGCAUGUGUUUAAUUCGAGCAACGCGAGGACCUUACCAGGUCUGACAAUCCUUUGA
RNAcentral lists this ribosomal RNA (957 nucleotides) under Leuconostoc mesenteroides. RNAcentral describes it as "bacterial SSU rRNA". It matches the Rfam family "Bacterial small subunit ribosomal RNA", at positions 44 to 994 of the family's 1533-position model. The record is from RNAcentral. Lineage: Bacteria; Bacillati; Bacillota; Bacilli; Lactobacillales; Lactobacillaceae.